Triticum dicoccoides is the source of this 167-nucleotide long non-coding RNA. RefSeq lists it as uncharacterized. The transcript has 3 exons. The record is from RefSeq and is a predicted model, not a curated record. Lineage: Eukaryota; Viridiplantae; Streptophyta; Magnoliopsida; Poales; Poaceae.
GGCGGCGCAGGUCACUUGGUGGGUGGAUGGAUCCCCAUCAGCGACCCGAUUCAGGGAUUAUCUUGAGGAAGGAUUGGCUAUUGAUGUUGAAUGAGAAGAACGGUGCUUGAUUGGUGCCUUUUGGAUAUUAUGUAUGCUUGUUCGCUGCAAUGUAGCAGUUAAGAACA